Molecule: long non-coding RNA, 4689 nt
Organism: Cercocebus atys (sooty mangabey)
Lineage: Eukaryota; Metazoa; Chordata; Mammalia; Primates; Cercopithecidae
Exons: 6
Source: RefSeq, a predicted model, not a curated record
UUUCACUUGAAGCGUUUCCUUCACUCUUCAUGUAACUUGGCUGUAUCAGUCAGUGUAUGAAUAAAUAUGGAACUACUUGAGGGCAUACUAUAUAUAUGUAAAAACCCAAGAAUACUUUUGGAAAAGCCAAAAAGUAUCAGCAUAAAGUGAAAAAUAAAACGAAACAGAAACUUUUCCGACCAAACAGACGUAAGCCAGAUGUUAGAGUCUCCCGCGCGAGGAGGGCCGUGUAGGGCCCCUGUAGCUGUGCCAAGUGCAUGCUAAAUGUGGCCAGAGAGAGGUACAUGGCUUAAGUUCACUCUCUUUACACAUAAAAAUGACCGUUUCUCUCUGUUUUAUUUUGGCACACUGACGUAAAUGUGGCUAGCUAUGGCAAUAAAAAUCACGAUUAGCUAUUUUAUAACUCAAGUCAGAAUUUUCAUUGAGUGAAAGAAAGAGGCUGUGUUACCAAUGAAGAGAGAUGUUUGAUCAAUUAAAAUGAAAAACAUAUUUACUAUACGUAACUCCUGUAUGUUUAAAUAUUAUCCUGCUACAAGCUAAAAAGAAAAACUUUUCACUUACUUUUCCAGUGCUUUUUAUGUUCUUCCCUUUCUUCUGGGUUUGCUGCCUUCUGCCAACUGAGCCACUAUUUAAUACACUUUCAUUGGAACAAACUUCCGCCCUAACCAAUCUGGGAUGCAAAGAGAAUCACAAGUUUUAUUUAGGCACUUUGCAUUUUGGAAAUUAAACAGAAAUAAAAAUCAAUAUUCUCCCACUGGCACAAAUUACUUUUCUUUCUUUUUUAAGUUUUUUUUUCCAACAAAGAGGAAAGGAAGAUUAAAGAAAUGGGAUACUCGUAAAAAUCUGUUUUCCACAGACAUGCCUUAUGUGUCAGGCUGUGACCUAGAACCACAUGCUUUUGGGGCUGUGGGCAUGGUGACUAUUUCUUGGCAGAAAGACAGAUUGCAAGCGAGUGCUCACUCUACGUUCACCCAAAUAGGUUCCGGAACUUUUUGGCUCCGAGGUGUCAGGUCUUUGUGUACCUGAACCUGUAGAAGGCCGAGGGGAAAUACACACAACAUUUUUAUUAUAGGACUGUUCUUCUUAAAACACAGCCUGCCGGGCUCAUGGUUUAAAUUAUAGUGUGUCUCAUGUGAAGUUCUCACAUCUGGUUUGACAAUCAUCUUUUCAAAAAUGUAGUCUUUUGUGAGCUUGUGACGCAAAAUGAUAUGGUAAAAUGAACACAGGCGACUCACAGUUGCUUAAGUUGCAGUAGUUGCAAAACUAAGAGAAGGCAAAAAUAAAACUGGACAGAGUGCAAUGUCAUAAAAUCUAAUAUAUAAAUGGGAGGCGCAUCUAGUGUCUGUCUACCUGUGGUGGGCUGAAUGGCGACUCCCCAGAAGGAUAUGUCCACAUCCUGAUCCCUGGAACCUCUGAAUGUGACUUUCUCGGGAAGGAGAGACUUUGCCGACAUAAUCAGGCGAAGGAUGUCAAGAUGAGAAGACCAUCCUGGAUUAGGUGGGUGGGUCCUGAAUCCUUUGACAAGUGUCCUUGUAAGAGACACUUGGAGGAGAGACAGAGAGAAGAGGAAGCAGGAAUGUGGCUACGGAAGUGGAGAUUGGAGUGAUGUGGCCACAAGCCAAGGAACACCAGAGCCACCAGAAACUGAAAGAGGCUAACUUGAGCUGGAAUCCCAUAACUUGCAACACAAAUUGACCCCAUGGAUCUAGUUGCUCUCCUGGUUAAGAGAGCAUGCCUAAGGCCCGUGGUUCUUGUGAAACUCCUUGUCCAGAUCCCUUUCCUGGUGUCCAUUCCUCAGCAAGGGAGAGCUGGAGGCAAUGCAGCGGGGAAUGGCGUGACUGCAGAACAAGCCCGGAUGGAAUGAAGACUGUUUGUUAAAACACCCUGCCCUUCUGUUUACUUGGACCUGAUUUUGAAAGUACAAGUCACUUUAUUUGGGCUGGAGGAAAAAGCACUAAACCAGAUGUUGAGGUGACCGGGAUUCCUGGAAGACGUUCUUCUCUCCGACGAGACGCGUGAUGCAUGAAGUAGGAGCCCCUGCCAAGGAGCCCAGGCUGCCAUGGCCUCGCUCGCUCAUGCUUCCCGGCAUGGCCCCGAGGCUAGCUGCCUCUGUACUGCCUGAGCAUCGUCCCCUGGUGUGUCACCAGACUGCUCACUAUCUGUGCUUGCACCUGCGGGUAGGCAGUUCAGUCGCCGCAGGCCGAAGCUCCCUGUCACAGGAAUCCAUCAACACUGGAGUUCACCAAAUGGCCCAGUCCAGGUCUGUGUCAUACUGUUUUGCAAAAGCAAGAAAACUCAUUCAGGGCUUAUUACUUUUAUCCCUGACUUCCUAAGUGAGCAGCGUAGCCAGAGAGCUACCUCCUCUGACAUCCUUUAAGAGCCAUGACCACUCCUGCCCUUGCUUUGUGAUAGGCACUCCUGGACACUGAAGUGCUGCUGUUGUGCACUGCUGUGCAUCCUGUCCGAGGAUGAGUGCUCCAGUCCUUGCUCCCUCCUCCCGUGACUGGCUCAUUAGCCAGAGCAAACUGUGGCCUUGAAGGAGCAGAAGGAGCAUUUGACUCUUCCCAGCUGUCAGUCUUUGGAAAAUUAAGCAAAGUGGAAUGACAGGCAUUUAUUCAUUUAACUGGCAGUUAUUUAUUGAGCAUCUAUUUUGUGGCAGGCACCGUGGUGACACUGAGGAGAGAAGGGUGAACGAGGACAGUCCUGAGCUCAAGCACGCUGCUGGUGGGUGGUAGUGGGGGCAGACGAGGAAGGGGCACCCAUGACAUGGCAUGCGAUGCAGCACCUCCAGGACAGGGCUCGGGUGCCAGCAGCAGCUCCCUGGGUCUUGGGGGACAUUGUAAGAGGAAGCGGUGGCUCAGUGUAGACCUGAAGGACGAGAGGUCGCCAGUCAUGUGUGGAGUGGGUUGGUGGAGAUGUGCAGAGUGCAAGGAAAGCUGGAGGUGAGACCUCCAGGCAGAAUGGAGGGAGGUGUGUCCCUUAGCAUGUGGGCUCUAAGGAGCCUGGGAGAUCUUAGGGGUUCCCCGGAGGCUGACUGAAGGCUGCCCAGGGAGUCUGGCUGGUAAGGGCCUCCAAGGUCAGGUUUGGGUGUGGGAGUAGCCAUUUCUAGCUCUGGUUGAGGUGCUCUUCCCUGUCAGUGCCCCCAAAUCCUUCAGCAGUGUCUGAUACGAUAUUCUAGACUGGCAUUGUUUCUGGUGCAGUCCCCGUCUCAUUCUUCAGGAAGCAUGGUCAUGGCAAUACCUGGAGUCUCCACUGCAAGACCAGAGUGAUGGAGGCAGCAGAGCUCCUCAGCAGACCAGGAGUCUCCAGAGGCACUGCAGAAUGUCUAAGAAGCAACCUCAUUGUAUUCCCAAGACCCGGGAAUCCAGGUCUCACAGAUAUGAUGAUACAAUCUAUAGCCAGGACAUCUCUUCAUGUGUAGUGGAUACUAGGGUGAGCAGCUAUCCCCGUCUUCCCAGGAUUGAGGGGCUUCUCCAGAUGCUGCACUUCCAGUGCUAAAAAUGAGAAACUGAAAUGAAUUAGUCACCCAAGGAACGUUGACCCUGUGCUAUAUGAUCACAUUUACUCUUUAAAGCAAUGCUUUGAGAUAGACAUGAAAGCCAGAUAUGGAAGAAUUUGCAGCCUCAUACGGAUUGGCCCAUUGAGGAGUCCACUCACCUCUCUUUUAGAAAAAAGAUCACAUUUAUGGAAUAAAGAAUAUACUGUGCUCUCUACUUACCAAGAGAUUUCUUUCUCUAUUGACAACGUUUUGUUGACGUGAUUACUGUGCAGGUUCUGACGGUCGAUUCUUUCCACCUAGCUCACUGCUGAAGCUAUAAUGAUUUCCAUUUUGCAAAAAGAGGAUGAUUACUUAUUAUCUGUGACCAUUUCUCAAUCACAGAACGAUUGAACUGCAUAGUCCCCGCGAUCUUGUAAAGGCAUUUGGCCUGGAAGACGCUCUGCAGCCAUGUGCCAAGAACAAUGGCUAUAGGGACAAUGUUUCGUUAACCCCAAAGCAGCAACCUGAACCUCUUACUGUACAGUAUCUGCUCCGUUCAGAAUUGGCUCGACUUGAGUCACAGGAUGAAGCUUAUCAAAAGGAACUUCCAUGUCCAAGGAAGGAACCAAGAUCACUGAGAGGUUAUAGUAUGAAAAUGAAGAGAAAAAACCUAUUCUAAACAUUUUGUUAAUUGUCAAUAAUUAUUUUAAAACAUUUAAUAUAGUCUCCUAUCUGGUCCGCUGGCAUCAAGCUGCCGAAUUUACAUGGUCGCUCUGGGAAGCCAGCUGGCAGGCGGGCAUGGAAAGUGCUGGCUCCCAGCGCAUUGAGAAGACCAACAGAUAGAUGGUAAUUUUCCUCUUUGUUUUUCUUUUUUUCUCUCCCUCUUUUUCUUCCCUCUUGCCUUUCCCUCCCAUUGCCCCACUUUUUUUUUUUUUUGGCUAUUGAAGAUUUAUUGCCUUUCAGUACUUACAGAUGAUGUUUUCAUAGGCUCUAAUGAGGUCCCAGCAGUUUUUAACAAUAACAGGACAUUACUGUUCCUAAGAUAUAUUAUGUGUUUUCCCUCAUCUUUCUCCCUUGAAUGAAACGCUUAGAAGUAGGCUAACCCCCAAUUCCCUUCCCUUUACUAUGAUAAAUGGCUCCAUUACUUAAUAGGGCUAAAUACUUUGCUGUGACUUUUCUACUGCUCAUUUGAAUAAAAUCUUAAGAAAAGC